UACGGAGGGGGCUAGCGUUGUUCGGAAUUACUGGGCGUAAAGCGCGUGUAGGCAGUUUCGCAAGUCGGGUGUGAAAGCCCUGGGCUCAACCUAGGAAGUGCACUCGAAACUGCGAGACUUGAGUCCUGGAGAGGAAGGCGGAAUUCUCGGUGUAGAGGUGAAAUUCGUAGAUAUCGAGAGGAACACCGGUGGCGAAGGCGGCCUUCUGGACAGUGACUGACGCUGAGACGCGAAAGCGUGGGGAGCAAACAGG
This 253-nucleotide ribosomal RNA is filed under the name uncultured bacterium. RNAcentral describes it as "partial 16S ribosomal RNA". It matches the Rfam family "Bacterial small subunit ribosomal RNA", at positions 524 to 776 of the family's 1533-position model. The record is from RNAcentral.